UAGGGAAUCUUCCACAAUGGGCGAAAGCCUGAUGGAGCAACGCCGCGUGCAGGAUGAAUGCCUUAGGGUUGUAAACUGCUUUUGUUAGUGACGAUUAUGACGGUAACUAGCGAAUAAGGAUCGGCUAACUCCGUGCCAGCAGCCGCGGUCAUACGGAGGAUCCAAGCGUUAUCCGGAAUUACUGGGCGUAAAGAGUUGCGUAGGUGGUUUGACAAGUAGAUAGUGAAAUCGUGUGGCUUAACCAUACAUACAUUAUCUAAACUGCCAGACUGGAGUAUGAGAGAGGUAGAUGGAAUUCUCUGUGUAGGAGUGAAAUCCGUAGAUAUAGGGAGGAACACCGAUGGCGUAAGCAGUCUACUGGCUCAUUACUGACACUGAGGCACGAAAGCGUGGGUAGCAA
Molecule: ribosomal RNA, 400 nt
Filed under: uncultured bacterium
Lineage: Bacteria
Description: bacterial SSU rRNA
Rfam family: Bacterial small subunit ribosomal RNA
Source: RNAcentral